AAUCUUUACCCAUAUGAAAGGGCGAAGAAACCACCCGUGUAACCGAUGCGCCACGUCGUUGGCGGUUUUUCCUCGGCUCAACCCUGGCGCGUUGGCGGGUUUUCGGGGGGCGCAUCGCUCCAUCUCUCUAGAAUCUCCAACGCUCUGUUCCCCUUCUCCCGAUUUUUCUAGGGUUUCCUCGCAGCGAUCCGGGACGCUGCUUCCGAUUGAGCGCGAGGUGGCCGCGUUUGGCAUGCGUUGGCGCUGUGGAUUUCUGGUUUCCGGUGGUCGGCUUCCUUCCCCGAACAAAAUCAAUUCACCGUCUAAAAAAAUCCCCAAUCCUCUCUCUCUCUCUCUCUGGAAGGCCACGGCGGACGAUAGGGUUCGUGCCGCCUCCCGCCGCCCCCCGGCACUAUUCUGCCUCCCGCCUCCCCCGGCCAACAACCCGAAGAAGGUUGCCGUCCAAGCAUCCACCCGAGCCGACGGACGGGACGAGGACUUGAGCGCGAAGAGCUCUCGGGACACCAUCGACCAGGCGGAUCUCCGGCUGCCUCCCACCUCCGACCAGGCGGAUCUACCCCUGGCAAUCUCCAUCUCGAGCGAUGUAUUUUCCUCCUAAUUGUCCACUGCACAUAUGGUCGAACCUUUUUUAUUGAAGUCUGUUUGUACAUGGAAUUUUGAUUAGGCAUAAUUUUAGUUCUGAUUCUGAUUACAUGAAUGUCAGACGGGGUAUUAUUUUCCUAGAUGACCCCCUUUAAAUUUCUCUACUUUUUUUAAUGGCCUUCCUUCACUGUAUCUAGGAAAAAGAAGACCAGCUGCUUGCUACUUACGAUUCCCAACAAAGCUAAACCACAGAUGAUAAGAAAAAAGAAUUUCACAAUGGAUUAUUUUUCCAGAUCACCCCCUUCUAGCAUUCUAUAUUUUUUAUGGUUUGCCUUCAAUAUAUCUAGGAAAAAAAGAAGAGCCUGAAUAUAGUUUGCUGCUUGCUAUUUAUCCCAAACAAGGUAACCUGAAAUGAUUAAUAAGAAUCUCCCUUGCCACUGGUAUGUCAGGUAUCAUCUCUUUUGUUCCUUUAUGCAAAUUUCUCCUUUUAAUUUUAACACUUGUGCUUUUCUGUAUUACAGUAGACUACAGGCUAAGGGAAAUGACAUACGUGAGAGUUCCCUCCACAGGGUAAGGGAAAUGACAUAGACUACAGGCUUCAAAAAUAGAUACGAAGUACUUAUUUUUCUCUGCCAGCCUCUUUGCUGUCUCGGGAUUUCAUGCUUACGAGAUUUCAGGGUCCAUUUCUGUAUUACAGUAGAGGUGCAGGUAAUGUCUUCUAGCAUUCCAUAUUUAUUCUUCUGGUGGAAUUUUUACCCUGCUGGUUCCUCCAAAUAGCGCAUGCAUAUAUAUGGUUUCUACAGUAGAAAAGAUGAAGUUGUUGUCCUUUCGAUCAUCUUUUGUAUUUUCCAGUCAUUAUGUGCAUAUUAAAAGUUUAUCUUCAUUUUGUUUUUCUGAAAUAUCAUGUACCAAAUUACAUAAGUGAUCUAUUGGUUUGACAAACUCCUUGCACUCACAAGUUAAACUCGCGGAUUUAUGAUGUUACCCAUUAAAGGAUAUACUCCAGGGAAACAAUCCGUGAACUCCAGGCAAGUAUCUGAGUAACAUCAUGGGUCUACAAUUUGUGGUAUGAACAGAAACCAUGGACUCAAGUAUUCAUGAAAAGAUAGGGUGCUUUCAUAUUCUGGUUUAGUAUAGUCUUUGAUUAUUAGUUUCAUAACUACUACCUCCGUUCCUAAAUUCUUGUUGUGAUUUUAGUUCAAAUUUGUACUAAAACCACGACAAGAAUUUAGGACCGGAGGGAGUAGCUGUAGGCUCUCUUUUUAAUCGGUAAUCUAGACACUAUUUAGUUGGAUAACUUACUGCCGAAUAAUAGUAUUACCCAAUCUAUUAAUAUUUGUUGCGCACAGAUGUCUUCAAACAAACUACCAAGUAUGCAUGUAAUGACGUAAUUGCUGCCGUGUUCUUUCUCGCAGUGUAUCCUUUUGUUCUGGUCAUGGAUUCUCUAUUGGAUGUUAGAAAGCAUAUAAGUAAACCAAUUGGUUGUUGUUGACAAAAUCAGUGCUUGCAUAUAUUACCUCAGAGGUACAUAUAUAUGUAUGUAAACCAUGAUGUUACUCCGAUUUACAAUUUCAGUCAGUUCCAUGCACAGAGCGCUUAAGCUGCAACAGAUUCCCUUCCAUUCAAAUUUAUGUGGAUGAUUUCUUUGGCUCGUGCUUCAAAUAAGCAUUCUGACUAAAGAUAAUUUGAAGAGAAGGGGCUGAGAAGGAGAGUAGCAAUUUGCUUUUUUGCUCCAAAGAGGAUCAAGAGCAAUUGUUUUUCUCAUGCUCUUUGGCCGGAUAUAUUUGGAUGGUUAUUAAAUGCACUUUUAGUUUUACUCAGAGUCCAGCUAAUUUUAAAUAACUCCUGGAAACAUGGAUCUUACCUUCCGUCGGGAAGGAUAGAAAUCUUGUUGUUUUAGGGAUUGCAGCAGUCAUUCGGGUCUUACGGAAGAUUUGAAAUAAAGCUUGCUUUGAGAAUUUGCCUUAUGACCCAACUGUUAUACAAUGUUUGAUGUGUGUUCUAUGAUGGAUCAGUGGUCGGGUCUUUAGAGAGGUGAAAGCAUGGAGGCGCUCCUCCCAAGACUCGCGCAAGCUGUGGCGAGCAACGACCGAAGUGUUUAACAGGUCUCAAGGUUGGGCUCGACUUAUAAGCUGGAGCAUUAAGCAGCUCUGGAGAGUUGGAUAUCUGGGUGUUUUUUCUAUUCUUUAUGCUAGCUGGACAGAAUCCUUACAUGUAAAUUUUGUGGUUUCUUUACAUGAAAUCGGGGAGUGUCCCUCUUAAGAAAAAGGAAACAGAUAAUUUAAAGGAAGGUCAUGUCAAAUUUGGGAUAUUACUCCAUUCUUUUGAUAACGGGCAGUGUUGCCGAUUUCCUUUGGUAAGGAUCUGAACGCAACUUCUCAUUUUUGUUAAUGUUUUGAAUUGA
This is a long non-coding RNA of Brachypodium distachyon (stiff brome), 2986 nucleotides long. RefSeq lists it as uncharacterized. NCBI's taxonomy places the organism in Eukaryota, Viridiplantae, Streptophyta, Magnoliopsida, Poales, Poaceae. The transcript has 2 exons. The record is from RefSeq and is a predicted model, not a curated record.